UACGAAGGGGGCUAGCGUUGCUCGGAAUUACUGGGCGUAAAGCGCACGUAGGCGGCUUGUUAAGUCGGAGGUGAAAUCCUGGAGCUCAACUCCAGAACUGCCUUCGAUACUGGCGAGCUCGAGUCCGGGAGAGGUGAGUGGAACUGCGAGUGUAGAGGUGAAAUUCGUAGAUAUUCGCAAGAACACCAGUGGCGAAGGCGGCUCACUGGCCCGGUACUGACGCUGAGGUGCGAAAGCGUGGGGAGCAAACAGGG
This 254-nucleotide ribosomal RNA is filed under the name uncultured bacterium. Its description in RNAcentral is "partial 16S ribosomal RNA". It matches the Rfam family "Bacterial small subunit ribosomal RNA", at positions 524 to 777 of the family's 1533-position model. The record is from RNAcentral.